Molecule: ribosomal RNA, 253 nt
Filed under: uncultured bacterium
Lineage: Bacteria
Description: partial 16S ribosomal RNA
Rfam family: Bacterial small subunit ribosomal RNA
Source: RNAcentral
UCCAGAGGGGGCAAGCGUUGUUCGGAAUUACUGGGCGUAAAGGGCUCGUAGGCGGCCAACUAAGUCAGACAUGAAAUCCCUCGGCUUAACCGGGGAACUGCGUCUGAUACUGGAUGGCUUGAAUCCGGGAGAGGGAUGCGGAAUUCCAGGUGUAGCGGUGAAAUGCGUAGAUAUCUGGAGGAACACCGGUGGCGAAGGCGGCAUCCUGGACCGGCAUUGACGCUGAGGAGCGAAAGCCAGGGGAGCAAACGGG